GACGAACGCUGGCGGCGUGCCUAAUACAUGCAAGUUGAGCGAUGAAGAUUGGUGCUUGCACCAAUUUGAAGAGCAGCGAACGGGUGAGUAACGCGUGGGGAAUCUGCCUUUGAGCGGGGGACAACAUUUGGAAACGAAUGCUAAUACCGCAUAACAACUUUAAACAUAAGUUUUAAGUUUGAAAGAUGCAAUUGCAUCACUCAAAGAUGAUCCCGCGUUGUAUUAGCUAGUUGGUGAGGUCAAGGCUCACCAAGGCGAUGAUACAUAGCCGACCUGAGAGGGUGAGCGGCCACAUUGGGACUGAGACACGGCCCAAACUCCUACGGGAGGCAGCAGUAGGGCAUCUUCGGCAAUUGACGAAAGUCUGACCGAGCGACGCCGCGUGAGGGAAGAAGGUUGUCGGAUCGUAAAACUCUGUUGGUAGAGAAGAACGUUGGUGAGAGUGGAAAGCUCAUCAAGUGACGGUAACUACCCAGAAAGGGACGGCUAACUACGUG
RNAcentral lists this ribosomal RNA (497 nucleotides) under uncultured bacterium. RNAcentral's name for it is "partial 16S ribosomal RNA". It matches the Rfam family "Bacterial small subunit ribosomal RNA", at positions 28 to 507 of the family's 1533-position model. The record is from RNAcentral.